Molecule: long non-coding RNA, 1790 nt
Organism: Oncorhynchus masou masou (cherry salmon)
Lineage: Eukaryota; Metazoa; Chordata; Actinopteri; Salmoniformes; Salmonidae
Exons: 3
Source: RefSeq, a predicted model, not a curated record
ACUCUGAAGCGCAAUCUGCAUCAGAAAUAUAACUGAUUUCUAUUUUAACAGACGCUCGUUGGCGCACGUGAGCAGUAUGGGUGCAAUAAUUGAAUAACAUAGAUUUUGCGACGCGAGUGGUGUUGUCAGCCUGUAAAAGGAGUCUGGGAGUUUUGAUAUGAACAAGUGUGCUUGCCAACAUUCAUCCUGCCCAACAAAAAUUAUAUAACAGUAUAAAAUAACUUGUUUUGGGGUGUGUUUUGACAACUUUCCAAAAACAUGUACUCUAAACUAUUCUCGGUCCGUAUGUACCAAGCGUCUCGGAGUAGGGGUGUUGAUUUGGGUUCAGUUUUGCCUUUAAGAUUAUAAUGGACCGAGAGGACCUGAUCAGUACCACCACUCUGAGGGGAGCUGACCAGAACUCCAACUGUGAGAGGAUCUGAGCAGCAAUCCAACUGUGAGAGGAUCUGAGCAGCACUCCAACUGUGAGAGGAGCUGACCAGCAAUCCAACUGUGGUCCUGGUAAUUGAACCCACUAUCCUGGUGUUGCAAGUGCGCUACCAACUGAGCUACAGAGGACCACCACUUCUCCAAAAUGUUGAGUAAACUCAAAAACACAAAUGGAGAAAAGAUCAUUCCUCUUCAUUGGGCUUUUAAAGAGAGCGACGACACUGCCAUUGUCAGGUUGAGGUUUCAUCCUACAGCCAAGUCACACCAAGUGGAGGCAUUUACCUCCCACAGCCUCGUUGGCAACUUGCUCAGGAGAAUUCACAUGGUAACAACACAAAAGCCCCAUCCGGAUGGUUUUGCAUUCAAAGUAUAUUUACAGAGCUGAAGUGGCAAUAAAUCUUGACACAGAGACACAUUUAUGCCUCUUAAAAUGUAAACAAUAUAGGUCUGUAAUUAAAUCCUCCCAGCUCCUAAAAUGUACAAUUAUGUACAUCUAAGUCACAGAGCUUUUAUAUAUUUUUCUAUUGUAAGUCAAUUAUUACAUGUUUGUAUGAAUGUUACAAUAAAAUGUUUCCUUUAUAAAAAAAAACAAGUAUUCAUGGACAUGAUCAUCAAACAUUUGUUAACCUUUCAAAGGGGAACUAAGAUGAAUUAAAGUUUCUGCUGUAUCCUGUAGCAGAGCAAUGAUUGAGAUACAAAACACUGUUUAUCAAUAGAUAGAAGCUGCUUAACAAAAUUCUUCUUGGUAACUUGUUGGUGAGGAACUAAUCAUUUGUUAAUAGAUGAAGUUUAUCAGACGUUUUUAUACUCAGCUAUGAACACAUUUAAACAUUCAUAUUUGAGUGAAGGUUCGAUUUUCUAAAAAACUAUAUAUUCAUUUAUAAAUGAGGGUGGGGGUGUGUAUGCUUUUUUUUAAUCAGAGGAAAAGAUUAAGUGAUUCAUACUAAGCAUGGCCACAUCUGCUAAUACAGAUAGCAGAAGGGUAAUUUCCAGUUAAAGGCACAAUCUGAUAUUUCAUCAGCCUGGCCCUGCCACUUUGUUUGGUAAGCUAAUGGGGUUGAGGAAAUGUAACAACAUUCAAAAUUCAUAUACUGAGCUAUAGACAUGACUGACAGUUCAUGACAUCAACAUAUACUUUUUUUUAACUAAAAUUGUUACAAAAACCUAAGCAAUGGAGGAAGUGUCUUAGAUUUGGGUUUAUGAUAGUGUAAGACAUCUAUGCUUGUACUAGCCUGAGAGCAAUGGGUAUAUUUACAUUUCAAAUUAGUAUAGUACUGACAAUGAAGUUCUUGUAGUACUACUAACAGAAUGAAGUAGCUACAUAAAUAAUUUCCACUGUAACCUCUGCCCUGUACCCUCUG